RNAcentral lists this ribosomal RNA (532 nucleotides) under uncultured beta proteobacterium. RNAcentral's name for it is "SSU rRNA". It matches the Rfam family "Bacterial small subunit ribosomal RNA", at positions 344 to 869 of the family's 1533-position model. Lineage: Bacteria; Pseudomonadati; Pseudomonadota; Betaproteobacteria. The record is from RNAcentral.
GGAGGCAGCAGUGGGGAAUUUUGGACAAUGGGCGAAAGCCUGAUCCAGCAAUGCCGCGUGAGUGAAGAAGGCCUUCGGGUUGUAAAGCUCUUUUGUCAGGGAAGAAACGGUGAGAGCUAAUAUCUCUUGCUAAUGACGGUACCUGAAGAAUAAGCACCGGCUAACUACGUGCCAGCAGCCGCGGUAAUACGUAGGGUGCAAGCGUUAAUCGGAAUUACUGGGCGUAAAGCGUGCGCAGGCGGUUUUGUAAGUCUGAUGUGAAAUCCCCGGGCUCAACCUGGGAAUUGCAUUGGAGACUGCAAGGCUAGAAUCUGGCAGAGGGGGGUAGAAUUCCACGUGUAGCAGUGAAAUGCGUAGAUAUGUGGAGGAACACCGAUGGCGAAGGCAGCCCCCUGGGUCAAGAUUGACGCUCAUGCACGAAAGCGUGGGGAGCAAACAGGAUUAGAUACCCUGGUAGUCCACGCCCUAAACGAUGUCUACUAGUUGUCGGGUCUUAAUUGACUUGGUAACGCAGCUAACGCGUGAAGUAGAC